RNAcentral lists this ribosomal RNA (465 nucleotides) under Vreelandella stevensii. Its description in RNAcentral is "partial 16S ribosomal RNA". It matches the Rfam family "Bacterial small subunit ribosomal RNA", at positions 338 to 795 of the family's 1533-position model. Lineage: Bacteria; Pseudomonadati; Pseudomonadota; Gammaproteobacteria; Oceanospirillales; Halomonadaceae. The record is from RNAcentral.
CCUACGGGCGGCAGCAGUGGGGAAUAUUGGACAAUGGGGGCAACCCUGAUCCAGCCAUGCCGCGUGUGUGAAGAAGGCCCUCGGGUUGUAAAGCACUUUCAGUGAGGAAGAACGCCUGGUGGUUAAUACCCAUCAGGAAAGACAUCACUCACAGAAGAAGCACCGGCUAACUCCGUGCCAGCAGCCGCGGUAAUACGGAGGGUGCGAGCGUUAAUCGGAAUUACUGGGCGUAAAGCGCGCGUAGGUGGCUUGAUAAGCCGGUUGUGAAAGCCCCGGGCUCAACCUGGGAACGGCAUCCGGAACUGUCAAGCUAGAGUGCAGGAGAGGAAGGUAGAAUUCCCGGUGUAGCGGUGAAAUGCGUAGAGAUCGGGAGGAAUACCAGUGGCGAAGGUGGCCUUCUGGACUGACACUGACACUGAGGUGCGAAAGCGUGGGUAGCAAACAGGAUUAGAUACCCCGGUAGUC